This 253-nucleotide ribosomal RNA is filed under the name uncultured bacterium. RNAcentral's name for it is "partial 16S ribosomal RNA". It matches the Rfam family "Bacterial small subunit ribosomal RNA", at positions 524 to 776 of the family's 1533-position model. The record is from RNAcentral.
UACGAGGGGUGCAAGCGUUGUUCGGAAUUACUGGGCGUAAAGCGUGUGUAGGUGGUCAUAUAAGUCAGAUGUGAAAGCCUGGGGCUCAACCUCAGAAGUGCAUCUGAAACUAUGUGACUUGAGUAUGGGAGAGGGUAACGGAAUUCCUGGUGUAGUGGUGAAAUACGUAGAUAUCAGGAGGAACAUCGGUGGCGAAGGCGGUUGCCUGGCCCAAUACUGACACUGAGACACGAAAGCAUGGGGAUCAAACAGG